UGGGGAAUUUUGGACAAUGGGCGAAAGCCUGAUCCAGCAAUGCCGCGUGUGUGAAGAAGGCCUUCGGGUUGUAAAGCACUUUUGUCCAGAAAGAAAUGGCUCUGGUUAAUACCUGGGGUCGAUGACGGUACCGGAAGAAUAAGGACCGGCUAACUACGUGCCAGCAGCCGCGGUAAUACGUAGGGUCCAAGCGUUAAUCGGAAUUACUGGGCGUAAAGCGUGCGCAGGCGGUUGUGCAAGACCGAUGUGAAAUCCCCGAGCUUAACUUGGGAAUUGCAUUGGUGACUGCACGGCUAGAGUGUGUCAGAGGGGGGUAGAAUUCCACGUGUAGCAGUGAAAUGCGUAGAGAUGUGGAGGAAUACCGAUGGCGAAGGCAGCCCCCUGGGAUAACACUGACGCUCAUGCACGAAAGCGUGGGGAGCAAACAGGAUUAGAUACCCUGGUAGUCCACGCCCUAAACGAUGUCAACUAGUUGUUGGGGAUUCAUUUCCUUAGUAACGUAGCUAACGCGUGAAG
Molecule: ribosomal RNA, 516 nt
Filed under: uncultured bacterium
Lineage: Bacteria
Description: partial 16S ribosomal RNA
Rfam family: Bacterial small subunit ribosomal RNA
Source: RNAcentral